CCUUUUGGGCUGGCAUAUGAGAGUUUACAACAGGUCUGUUCCAAAGGCCACAAGAUUUUACAUCUUUUUGCAACCAAGAGCAGCACCGUGUGGAUAUGUCAUAACUGUGUGCACAACAAAUUCAAGCACUGGGUCGAGGAGGUGGAUGGUCCAUAGCACAUGAUUCAUUCUAAUUCACAUUUGACCCUUCCACUGCAUCUUGUAAGGCUGAGGUUCAAACAUUUAGAAACCAGAGAUCUGACUUUUUUGUGCUGCUUCAUUCCAACUGCUUGUGGGGAAGGAAGCAAUCUCACUGGUGUCCCUGCUUUGCAGUAAAAGCCCCUGUUCCUUGGCCA
Molecule: long non-coding RNA, 335 nt
Organism: Mauremys mutica (yellowpond turtle)
Lineage: Eukaryota; Metazoa; Chordata; Testudines; Geoemydidae
Exons: 3
Source: RefSeq, a predicted model, not a curated record